AGAGUUUGAUCCUGGCUCAGGAUGAACGCUAGCGACAGGCUUAACACAUGCAAGUCGAGGGGCAGCGGGGUAGUGCUUGCACUACUGCCGGCGACCGGCGCACGGGUGAGUAACACGUAUGGAACCUGCCCGCAGCAGGGGGAUAAGCGGAAGAAAUUCCGUCUAAUACCGCGUAAUAACGUUGGGAGGCAUCUCCCGAUGUUUAAAGAUUUAUCGGCUGCGGAUGGCCAUGCGGCGCAUUAGCUAGUCGGCGGGGUAACGGCCCACCGAGGCGACGAUGCGUAGGGGUUCUGAGAGGAAGGUCCCCCACACUGGUACUGAGACACGGACCAGACUCCUACGGGAGGCAGCAGUGAGGAAUAUUGGUCAAUGGCCGAGAGGCUGAACCAGCCAAGUCGCGUGAGGGAAGACGGCCCUACGGGUUGUAAACCUCUUUUGUCGGGGAGCAAAGAGAGCCACGUGUGGCUCAUUGAGAGUACCCGAAGAAAAAGCAUCGGCUAACUCCGUGCCAGCAGCCGCGGUAAUACGGAGGAUGCGAGCGUUAUCCGGAUUUAUUGGGUUUAAAGGGUGCGCAGGCGGAGGUGCAAGUCAGCGGUCAAAUUGCGGGGCUCAACCCCGUACUGCCGUUGAAACUGCAUCCCUUGAGUGCGCGAGAAGUAUGCGGAAUGCGUGGUGUAGCGGUGAAAUGCAUAAAUAUCACGCAAAACUCCGAUUG
This 715-nucleotide ribosomal RNA is filed under the name uncultured bacterium. Its description in RNAcentral is "bacterial SSU rRNA". It matches the Rfam family "Bacterial small subunit ribosomal RNA", at positions 8 to 715 of the family's 1533-position model. The record is from RNAcentral.